UACGUAGGGUGCGAGCGUUGUCCGGAAUUAUUGGGCGUAAAGAGCUUGUAGGCGGUUUGUCGCGUCUGCUGUGAAAUUUCGGGGCUCAACCUCGGGCCUGCAGUGGGUACGGGCAGACUAGAGUGCGGUAGGGGAGAUUGGAAUUCCUGGUGUAGCGGUGGAAUGCGCAGAUAUCAGGAGGAACACCAAUGGCGAAGGCAGAUCUCUGGGCCGUAACUGACGCUGAGGAGCGAAAGCAUGGGGAGCGAACAGG
Molecule: ribosomal RNA, 253 nt
Filed under: uncultured bacterium
Lineage: Bacteria
Description: partial 16S ribosomal RNA
Rfam family: Bacterial small subunit ribosomal RNA
Source: RNAcentral